AUUGAACGCUGGCGGCAGGCCUAACACAUGCAAGUCGAACGAGUGGCGGACGGGUGAGUCAUGUCUGGGAAACUGCCUGGUGGAUGGGGAUAACUACUGGAAACGGUAGCUAAUACCGCAUACCAUCAGAUGUGCCCAGAUGGGUUUAGCUUGUUGGUGGGGUAUCGGCUCACCAAGGCCACGAUCCAUAGCUGGUCUGAGAGGAUGCACGGCCACACUGGAACUGAGACACGGACCAGACUCCCACGGGAGGCAGCAGUGGGGAAUAUUGCAGAAUGGGCGUAAGCAUGAUGCAGCCAUGCCGCGUGUAUGAAGAAGGACUUCGGGGUGUAAAGGUCUUUCAGAGGGGAGGCGUUACCCGCAGAAGAAGCACCGGCUAACUCCGUGCCAGCAGCAGCGGUAAUAC
RNAcentral lists this ribosomal RNA (406 nucleotides) under uncultured bacterium. RNAcentral describes it as "partial 16S ribosomal RNA". It matches the Rfam family "Bacterial small subunit ribosomal RNA", at positions 30 to 526 of the family's 1533-position model. The record is from RNAcentral.